CCCUUGAUAGCUCAGUUGGAAGAGCGAGAGACUGUAAUGGGUGAAAUGAAACACAACUUCCAGAGUUGUGGUUCUGCAAAGAUCAUCUCUAGGUCACUGGUUCGAUCCCGGUUCAAGGGA
This 120-nucleotide transfer RNA is filed under the name Melampsora larici-populina 98AG31. Its description in RNAcentral is "tRNA-Tyr for anticodon GUA". It matches the Rfam family "tRNA". From Rfam's summary of the family: Transfer RNA (tRNA) molecules are approximately 80 nucleotides in length. Their secondary structure includes four short double-helical elements and three loops (D, anti-codon, and T loops). The record is from Rfam by way of RNAcentral. Lineage: Eukaryota; Fungi; Basidiomycota; Pucciniomycetes; Pucciniales; Melampsoraceae.